RNAcentral lists this non-coding RNA (117 nucleotides) under Melioribacter roseus. RNAcentral's name for it is "SAM-I sequence". It matches the Rfam family "SAM riboswitch aptamer (S box leader)". Rfam says of the family: The SAM riboswitch is found upstream of a number of genes which code for proteins involved in methionine or cysteine biosynthesis in Gram-positive bacteria. The SAM riboswitch acts at the level of transcription termination control. RNAcentral also lists the same sequence under 1 other name. Lineage: Bacteria; Pseudomonadati; Ignavibacteriota; Ignavibacteria; Ignavibacteriales; Melioribacteraceae. The record is from RNAcentral.
GUCUUAUCAAGAAAGGUCGAGGGAACAGGCCCGAUGACGCCUUGGCAACCAUCCCGUCUUUAAGAGGGAAAGGUGCUAAUUCCUGCCCCAACUUUAAUGUUGCGGGGAAGAUAAGAA